CCGAACUCAAACCCGGCUUGUUCAUCUCAGCCAAACCAAAUCCCGAAUCAAAAUUGAACAUAUCCUUUAACCAGAGUUGGGAAAAUCCCAUAUUUCUUCAGCCUAAGCAUUGCAAUCAAGGUGUUCGACAGAAGCCCUAGAUGAAGAUAAUGAGGAAAAAGUGCGGAAUCUGCGUGGUUUGGUGAGGGAUCCUGAGAAAAUGUUCGGUAGGGUUGAUUGAAGGAGAGUGAUGGAGCAGAGGACGAGACGGCGACGGUGGUGGUGUGCGGUGGUGACGAGAGGAGAUGUCUGUGUGUUUGUAUAUGCGUAUGGGUAAUAUACGUGUGAGCGUUAAUUAGCAGGUUUGGAAAAAGGUUCGGAACACAAGGAAUUAAUUUGCUCGGGAGAACAACCUGUUCUCGUAUCUAUACUAUCUAUACUAUACUAUAAUAAGCCAACAUGGGUAUAAUUUGUAGUCCUACUUUUCCUUCACGUUUUUUGGUUUCGUCGUUUCUUUUUUCGUUACUGGACUAUUACACGGUCCUCUUAGAGUUCUAUUUCCGAGUGGACACUGGUUCUCCAAACUAAAGCAAGUACUAUAGAAAACAGAUACUUGAACCACCGCCCUCUUUCUUCCUCUCCGUCAGCCACAUACGACCAAGCGACUCUUUCUCCCAGCAGAGAUUAACUUUGCAGACAAGACCAAAUACUACUCAUAACACUUAACAGUCCACUAAUUAGCCCGCUGUAGAUACAGAAAAUAUAACAAAAACCCAUAUACAAAAACUCUUUAAAACCCCAAGAUUUUUGAAGAAUUGAAGAGAUGGGAGCUGAUAUACCCUAUUGUGGAACAGAGUUUGUGCUGUAUGUGUUUGCAAGUUUGGGUUUGGUAUUGCUUGCUGGGCUUAUGGCUGGCCUUACUCCUGGCCUUAUGUCUCUAAGAGAAUUGUGCAAACUAAGUAGGGCUUGUAUCGUCCCAACUGGAUCAUGCCAUUGUAGGUGGUGCAUGCCCGCUCUAGGCAACUUUGAGAAGAUGAGCUAAGAUAAGCACGUGUCAAAAUGUAAAUGAAGGUUCAACAGUCACCAAUCAAAUUGGAACCAAUAAUGUUGCCUCAUCCAUUUAUACCUGUCAUGUAUGUGCAGGAAAUCUUGUUAGUAUAGUGGUGACACUACAUUUAAAAAACAAAAAGAAUAAUCCGAGAAAGAAUACUCACUUUAGUUUACACAAUGAACACAUUAUUCUCUAUGCAUAUUUUAUUCCUCAUACUCUAGUCUCAAAAGCCCAAUUAUGACAUUGAUUUAGCUCAACACCACAAUGUUUUUAUUCAAAGCUAGUUGUAAUUACGCAAAUUAAUCACAUGUGUAAUAUUAAAAAGAAGAAAAAUUAAUCUUCUACAAGAGUACUUCGAUAUGCACUUAGUUGCAGGAGUGUGAGUAGCAUAUAAUUAAAAUCAUCAAACAAAUCAAUUAUUUCACGAGGCAAGCACACCUCGCAACCUUCUAUAUUCCCCAGAAUUACUCUAUUGAAUGUUACAACUCAAUUCAAUUUUAUAAUCAUGCCACGUAAAUCGAACAACCAAAUUUCUUUGGUGUAAACAUGUAACAGGACUACGGGAUACCUACAAGUCUAAUAUAAUAUCACUACUUUUCAGGCUCUAAAUACUAAAUUGACGAGGCACGAAGAAUACCUUAAAGGCAGUCUCAUUCUCCGCUAACAAUGAACAGUAAGAUAAGUAGCAUCUUCUUGCCUAGCCCACUCCCGAACAAGCACACCUUGCUUAUGCGCGGGAAGCUUUUUACACAACCAAGCCAGCUUCGAUCUCCUCCACUGUUCAGGAAGUUCCUCCAAUUCCUUAACCUCAACCGGCAAAGCCCCGAACUCAAACCCGGCUUGUUCAUCUCAGCCAAACCAAAUCCCGAAUCAAAAUUGAACAUAUCCUUUAACCAGAGUUGGGAAAAUCCCAUAUUUCUUCAGCCUAAGCAUUGCAAUCAAGGUGUUCGACAGAAGCCCUAGAUGAAGAUAAUGAGGAAAAAGUGCGGAAUCUGCGUGGUUUGGUGAGGGAUCCUGAGAAAAUGUUCGGUAGGGUUGAUUGAAGGAGAGUGAUGGAGCAGAGGACGAGACGGCGACGGUGGUGGUGUGCGGUGGUGACGAGAGGAGAUGUCUGUGUGUUUGUAUAUGCGUAUGGGUAAUAUACGUGUGAGCGUUAAUUAGCAGGUUUGGAAAAAGGUUCGGAACACAAGGAAUUAAUUUGCUCGGGAGAACAACCUGUUCUCGUAUCUAUACUAUCUAUACUAUACUAUAAUAAGCCAACAUGGGUAUAAUUUGUAGUCCUACUUUUCCUUCACGUUUUUUGGUUUCGUCGUUUCUUUUUUCGUUACUGGACUAUUACACGGUCCUCUUAG
This 2382-nucleotide long non-coding RNA is filed under the name Daucus carota (carrot). RNAcentral's name for it is "long non-coding RNA (DCAR_LNC005378)". Lineage: Eukaryota; Viridiplantae; Streptophyta; Magnoliopsida; Apiales; Apiaceae. The record is from RNAcentral.